This 1416-nucleotide long non-coding RNA is filed under the name Homo sapiens (human). Its description in RNAcentral is "HSALNT0275258". The record is from RNAcentral. Lineage: Eukaryota; Metazoa; Chordata; Mammalia; Primates; Hominidae.
GCCUCUGCCCCGUCCCGCCUGCGCGGAUCCCUCCGCCCGCUCCGAGGGUCCGCGGAAAGUAGUCCCGCGCGCCCUCUGCCCUGACGCGGUGUGUGCCAGCUACCCGAGUGAAAGGUUUUCGGGGGAUUAAUCCUGAUGGGGUCUGCGGCGGCCCUUGCCCAGCGCCUUCCACAUGUGGAGCGGGCCAGUGGUGCUAGUUCUGCCGCCAACUCUGGACGGUUGAGUUCAGGGCCACUUUUUACUCAGGCACGGAUGUGACAGAAAGAUGGAAAAGGGUCUUGGAAGAACCACAUGUGCCGUAUAACGAACGACCUUUUGGUCUGAGGAGGACCGUGUAUAUGACGGUGGUCCCAUAACAUGAUAACGGAGCUGGAAACUUCCUGUCCUCUGGUGAGGGCUUAGCUAAGGACAUUUCCUCUCCUGUAUUUGGAGAUACACGUACAGGUGGAUCUGAAGCAGUGCUGCCUUAGUCUCCUUGGACUCUCAGCUCCAUUUCCUCAGCUCAAGUAGUCCACUGGGCUCUACCUCAGUUCUGCCUCCUCUUGCUGUGGCCUAGAAAUUCUCUCUGGAUAUCAGAAAACAAAGGACAGUAAUCCCUGCCAAGAUGGGAUACAAACAAGCUGCAGCCCUUGGUGCACAGUAUGAUCUGGACCUGGGGCACAGCAAGACCAGAACCAUGAACCACCAUGAACCAUGACUCCUCACUUGUGAGAUGACGUGUGCAAGGUGACCUAUGGUGCUUCAUGACCACAGAAGUGACCACUCUACACUGUGAAAUGAAUUUCUGCAUGGGGGGUAUAUUAGGGUUCUCUACAGGGACAGAACUAAUAGAUAUAUAUGAAAGUUUAUUAAGUAUUAACUUACACAAUCACAAGGUCCCACAAUAGGCCAUCUGCAAGCUGAGGAGCAAGGAGAGCCAGUUCGAGUCCCAAAAUUGAAGAACUUGGGAGUCCGAUGUUUGAGGGCAGGAAGCAUCCAGCACGGGAGAAAGAUGUAGGCUGGGAGGCUAAGCAAGUCUCAUCUCUUCACAUUUUUCUGCCUGCUUUAUAUUCGUUGGCAGCUGAUUAGAUGGUGCCCACCUGAUUAAGAGUGGGUCUGCCUUCCCCAGCCUGACUCAAAUGUUAAUCUCCUUUGGCAACACCCUCACAGACACAUCCAGGAUCAAUAUUGCAUCCUUCAAUCCAAUCAAGUUGACACGCAGUAUUAACCAUGACAGGGGGGAAUGAGAUGACACAAAGGAUCCCUUCUGGCUCUCAUGUUCUGUCACCAUCUACUUCAGGAGAGAGAUGCACUGUGUGGGGAGGAUGAAAGUUAGAAGGAAAAGGCAAGAGAAAUCAGGAGGGUUUGGUAUUCAAUGCGUGUUCAUUUAUUUUACACUUACAAAAGAAAUCGCCCACCCCUUUGCCCCAUUCCCCC